UACGGGGGGAGCAAGCGUUGUUCGGAUUUACGGGGCGUAAAGGGCGCGUAGGCGGCCACCGCAAGUCAGUUGUGAAAGCUCUGGGCUUAACCCAGAAAGGUCAACUGAUACUGCGGGGCUAGAGUGCAGAAGGGGCAACUGGAAUUCUCGGUGUAGCGGUGAAAUGCGUAGAUAUCGAGAGGAACACCUGCGGCGAAGGCGGGUUGCUGGGCUGACACUGACGCUGAAGUGCGAAAGCUAGGGGAGCGAACGGG
RNAcentral lists this ribosomal RNA (254 nucleotides) under uncultured bacterium. Its description in RNAcentral is "partial 16S ribosomal RNA". It matches the Rfam family "Bacterial small subunit ribosomal RNA", at positions 524 to 776 of the family's 1533-position model. The record is from RNAcentral.